CACGUAGGCACCAAGCGUUGUCCGGAUUUAUUGGGCGUAAAGAGCUCGUAGGCGGUUCGGUAAGUCGGGUGUGAAAACUCUGGGCUCAACCCAGAGCCGCCACCCGAUACUGCUGUGACUUGAGUUCGGUAGGGGAGCGGGGAAUUCCUGGUGUAGCGGUGAAAUGCGCAGAUAUCAGGAGGAACACCAGUGGCGAAGGCGGCAUCCUGGACCAUUACUGACGCUGAGGCGCGAAAGCUAGGGGAGCAAACGGG
This 254-nucleotide ribosomal RNA is filed under the name uncultured bacterium. Its description in RNAcentral is "partial 16S ribosomal RNA". It matches the Rfam family "Bacterial small subunit ribosomal RNA", at positions 524 to 776 of the family's 1533-position model. The record is from RNAcentral.